RNAcentral lists this ribosomal RNA (305 nucleotides) under uncultured bacterium. Its description in RNAcentral is "bacterial SSU rRNA". It matches the Rfam family "Bacterial small subunit ribosomal RNA", at positions 337 to 634 of the family's 1533-position model. The record is from RNAcentral.
GCCUACGGGGGGCAGCAGUAGGGAAUCUUCCACAAUGGGCGAAAGCCUGAUGGAGCAACGCCGCGUGGGUGAAGAAGGUCUUCGGAUCGUAAAACCCUGUUGUUAGAGAAGAAAGUGCGUGAGAGUAACUGUUCACGUUUCGACGGUAUCUAACCAGAAAGCCACGGCUAACUACGUGCCAGCAGCCGCGGUAAUACGUAGGUGGCAAGCGUUAUCCGGAUUUAUUGGGCGUAAAGGGAACGCAGGCGGUCUUUUAAGUCUGCUGUGAAAGCCUUUGGCUUAACCGGAGUAGGGCAUUGGAAACU